AUACGUAGGGAGCGAGCGUUGUCCGGAAUUACUGGGCGUAAAGGGCGCGUAGGCGGCGCUUCAAGUCGUCUGUCAAAUGGAAGGGCUUAACCCUUUUUCGCAGACGAAACUGGAGAGCUUGAGAAGCAGAGAGGCAAACGGAAUUCCUGGUGUAGCGGUGAAAUGCGUAGAUAUCAGGAAGAAUACCAGUGGCGAAGGCGGUUUGCUGGCUGCAUACUGACGCUGAAGCGCGAAAGCCAGGGGAGCGAACGGGAUUAGAUACCCCGGUAGUCCUGGCAGUAAACGAUGUAUGCUGGGUGUGAGACUAGCGAUAGUUUCGUGCCGAAGUUAACGCGAUAAGCAUACCGCCUGGGGAGUACGGUCGCAAGAUUGAAACUCAAAGGAAUUGACGGGG
This 394-nucleotide ribosomal RNA is filed under the name uncultured bacterium. RNAcentral's name for it is "partial 16S ribosomal RNA". It matches the Rfam family "Bacterial small subunit ribosomal RNA", at positions 523 to 918 of the family's 1533-position model. The record is from RNAcentral.